Molecule: long non-coding RNA, 705 nt
Organism: Micropterus dolomieu (smallmouth bass)
Lineage: Eukaryota; Metazoa; Chordata; Actinopteri; Centrarchiformes; Centrarchidae
Exons: 2
Source: RefSeq, a predicted model, not a curated record
CGAAGCUUCUGUCAGCCCACUGAUGUCGAGACAGGACAGAAUGACAUGCAAACACACACACACACACACACACACACACACUAUCAGCAUUGAAACAGGUGCAGGGAGGGAAACACUGUAACAAACUCAGGCCUGAUUAUGGCAGAGCAAGGUAUCGAGGGACCACAGUGACAGAGGAGAAGAGUCGAAAACAAGAAGAGAGAAUAAUGGAGAUAUAAUAGUGAGCAUUACGGUGGUGGGAUGAGAGAACAGUGUGACAGAGAAAAAGAAGCCAGCCCAGAGGGAGGCGAAACAGACAACCUUGAGAUAAUCUGUGGGACGGGCAGAGGGAGAAAAAUAACCUUAUCAGGGCAAGGAAAUAGAAGGCACACUGAGUGGCGAGAGGAUAUGAAAACACAGACGUGAAGGCAUAGAAGAAGGGGUGAAAAAAAAGCCUCAACAGAAAUAAGAGGAAAGCCUAUGAGGCCCAGGGUUUCGCCACGGAUGCGGGCGGCGCCGGAAGCCACCUCGCGGAUCUGCUCUACGCUCUGGACCCGCGUGCCCUCCCGGAGAGCCUGGUAGAGCCAGGUGUUUCGCCGAUAAAGGUUGAGGAUGUGGCACAGAGUGGAGUCUGCCGUCUCCUCCACAGCUGCCGAGGGAAUGUUACACACAGCAAUGCCUGAAGAAAGACACAAGACAGAACAGUUAAUAAAUAAUUAACUCUAA